Molecule: ribosomal RNA, 416 nt
Filed under: uncultured bacterium
Lineage: Bacteria
Description: bacterial SSU rRNA
Rfam family: Bacterial small subunit ribosomal RNA
Source: RNAcentral
GACGAACGCUGGCGGCGUGCCUAAUACAUGCAAGUCGAGCGGACCAAAGGGAGCUUGCUCCUGGAGGUUAGCGGCGAACGGGUGAGUAACACGUGGGCAACCUGCCUGUAAGACUGGGAUAACAUCGAGAAAUCGGUGCUAAUACCGGAUAAUAAAAAGAACUGCAUGGUUCUUUUUGAAAGAUGGUUUCGGCUAUCACUUACAGAUGGGCCGCGGCGCAUUAGCUAGUUGGUGAGGUAACGGCUCACCAAGGCGACGAUGCGUAGCCGACCUGAGAGGGUGAUCGGCCACACUGGGACUGAGACACGGCCCAGACUCCUACGGGAGGCAGCAGUAGGGAAUCUUCCGCAAUGGGACGAAAGUCUGACGGAGCAACGCCGCGUGAGUGAUGAAGGUUUUCGGAUCGUAAAACUCUG